RNAcentral lists this signal recognition particle RNA (279 nucleotides) under Aotus nancymaae (Ma's night monkey). Its description in RNAcentral is "Metazoan signal recognition particle RNA (ENSANAG00000000847.1)". It matches the Rfam family "Metazoan signal recognition particle RNA". Rfam says of the family: The signal recognition particle (SRP) is a universally conserved ribonucleoprotein. It is involved in the co-translational targeting of proteins to membranes. Lineage: Eukaryota; Metazoa; Chordata; Mammalia; Primates; Aotidae. The record is from RNAcentral.
GCAAAAAUGGGAGAGAGCUCAGGAGGCUGAGGUGGGAGGAUCGCUUGAGCCAGGAGUUCUCGGCUGUAGUGCGCUAUGCUGAUUGGGUGUCCGCACUAAGUUCGGCAUCACUAUGGUAACCUCCGGGGAGUCGGGGACCACCAGGUUGCCUAAGAAGGGGUGAACUGGCCCAGGUCGGAAAUGGAGCAGGUCAGAACUCCUGUGCUGAUCAGUAGUGGGACUGCACCUGUGAAUAGCCACUGCACUCCAGCCUGGGCAACAUAGCAAGACCCAGUCUCA